UGUACAUAAAAUGGGCUAUUCCAUUUAAUAUCCGUACCCCCCCUGUCGAGGAUACCUGGAAUUCUUCAGGGGUAGGGUGUUUUGAGCUUGGAAUUCUUCAGGGGUAGGGUGUUUUGAGUUUGGAAUUCUUCAGGGGUAGAUUGUUUUGAGCUUGGAAUUCUUCAGGGGUAAAGGAUUUUGAGUUUGGAAUUCUUCAGGGGUACAGUCUUUUAGCUUGGAAUUCUUCAGGGGUAAAGGAUUUUGAGUUUGGAAUUCUUCAGGGGUAGAUUGUUUUGAGCUUGGAAUUCUUCAGGGGUACAGUGUUUUGAGUUUGGAAUUCUUCAGGGGUACAGUGUUUUGAGUUUGGAAUUCUUCAGGGGUAGGGUGUUUUGAGCUUGGAAUUCUUCAGGGGUAAAGUGUUUUGAGCUUGGAAUUCUUCAGGUUAAAGUGUUUUGAGCUUGGAAUUCUUCAGGGGUACAGUGUUUUGAGCUUGGAAUUCUUCGGGGGUAGGGUGUUUUGAGUUUGGAAUUCUUCAGGGGUACAGUGUUUUGAGUUUGGAAUUCUUCAGGGGUAGGGUGUUUUGAGUUUGGAAUUCUUCAGGGGUAAAGUGUUUUGAGCUUGGAAUUCUUCAGGGGUACAGUGUUUUGAGUUUGGAAUUCUUCAGGGGUACAGUGUUUUGAGCUUGGAAUUCUUCAGGGGUACAGUGUUUUGAGCUUGGAAUUCUUCAGGGGUACAGUGUUUUGAGCUUGGAAUUCUUCAGGGGUACAGUGUUUUGAGCUUGGAAUUCUUCAGGGGUAGGGUGUUUUGAGCUUGGAAUUCUUCAGGGGUAGGGUGUUUUGAGCUUGGAAUUCUUCAGGGGUAAAGGAUUUUGAGUUUGAAAUUUCUGCAGGGGUACCCUAUGAUUGAUCUGAAUUUUUUUAACUAACUAACUGCACUCUUAAGGCCGUUUUCCAUUAACGUUCGCUAAAAAUGUUCUGCGUGAUUUAAGGUGGCUUAGUUGAAAACAAUGUAGUUGUGAAAGGACAAAGAGAAAUUCCGCUCCACGUGGAAAAUUCCGCCUAGUGAAAAACAAGCUUUAAAGCUCGAGUAAUACGAGCAACAAAAUUGCUGCAACUUGCAACAAAAUCUGAUUUCUACGCAUGUUAAUUGAAAAUACUUAACAUGCAUAGAAAUCAGUUUUUGCUGCAAGGUGCAGCAAUUAUUACUCCACAUUUACACCCGUUUUUCUUUUUAAAUUACAUGGCACAUGGGGUUAGGCCAGUUAAAAUGAGGAAGCGGAACGAAAGGGGUUAAAGGCGGAACGGAACGAAUAUGAGGUUAAAACUUAAAACCAAUAUCCGUUCCGUUCUGCAUUUUAACCAUAUAUCCGUCCCACAUUUUAACCCCAUCCGUUCCGUAUUUUAAUCCCAUCCGUUCCGCAUCCGUUCCGCUUCCGCACUUUAACCUAACCCAUGGCACAUGUUUAUGUUACGCAAACUACUAUAAAUAGCAAUGUAAACAAAAGACAUUUUAAACCGUAUCUAACACCCCCCCCCCCAAAAAAUAAAAAUAUAUUGAGCCAAAAUAAGCUAGAUAUUAUCAGAGAAAAAGAAACAACACACCAUCAUUUAAACUUGGAUAAAACAAAAUUUAUGAUUUUUAAACCUAAACCAAAAUUAUUGGAAUUAGAUGUGAAACUACUAUUGAAUGAUAGAGAAAUUGAUCAAGUGAAAAAAAUCGUUUUCUUAGGAAUUAUUUUAGAUGACAAACUUUCUUGGAAAUCUCAUAUUAGUCAUGUGUCAACGAAGAUUUCAAAAUCAGUAGGAAUAAUACGUAAAUCUAGUUGUUUUUUUAAACAAUCAUUGUUUACAGUACUUUAUAUUACUCAAUGCAAUAUUGUUUGGGCAUCUACGUAUGCAUCCAACCUGUUUCGUUUGGUAGUUCUUUAGAAACGUAUUGUUAGAAUUAUGAAUAUAGUACAUUUGAUUCUCAUACAAGCAUGAUCUUUAAAAAUUUUCGAUUAUUGAAAUUUAAUGACAUAUGUAAAUUACACUGACAUGUCAAUUCAUGUUCUUGUAUAAAAAAAUCUUGUACCAGAACAUUUAAAAAAUAUUUUUUUAUUAAAUAACCAAAUACAUAAUUAUAAUACUAGAAGAGCAAAUGAAUUUCACAUUGUAACUCCUAGAACAAAUCUACGUCAAUUCUCUAUUAAAUUCCAAGUACCAUUAAUUUUUUCUAUAACAGUCUAGACAAUACCCUGGGUGCCAGAGGUUCUUCCACGCUCGUAGGGGGAUAAUGAGGGAUACACAAGGAUUCAAGCUGGGCGGGAGGCGAGCGGAAAGAACCUUUGGAACACUUCUAUCAGUUCUAUGGUUUCUCAGAUCGAACCGCACCAAUCACGAUGCUUAAUAGUGUGAAGUGAUCUAGAAUCUGGAUCACAGUGUUAAUUGGUUAACGGCAGGGACUUGUUAAAACAAUGACUUUCAUUGGCUGUUUGAACCGUAUGUCCUUCAAGAUAUUGCGGUGCCCAAACUUGGGCACCGCAUUAUAUUCUGCCUGUGAGUUUGUUAGUUUGUUCGCAUCAACACGUUUCCUUAUUAGUCUUAUUAAUCACCUAGUAAAAAUUCUUUGCACGUGCUCGAAAUUUAUUCAUUUUUGCGGGAAAAUUAAUUAAUCUUGUACUCUCAGGAUCGACUGUUUGCUAGGCUUUAUCUCUGGUUUUAUGGGCCAAACAAGGACAACAAUACCACUGUUUGAAUCAGCGUGAAAAGUUGUAUAUAUGGAUGGAAAAUUGAUUUCUAUUCUAGCGAUAUAUAUGGCCUUUGAAAGACAAACCGCUCAAAAAUAAUCCUUCACGUUUUCCAAAUUAUUUUUUUCGAGGAAAGUUUU
This 2847-nucleotide long non-coding RNA is filed under the name Paramuricea clavata. The record is from RNAcentral. Lineage: Eukaryota; Metazoa; Cnidaria; Anthozoa; Malacalcyonacea; Plexauridae.